This is a long non-coding RNA of Xenia sp. Carnegie-2017, 369 nucleotides long. RefSeq lists it as uncharacterized. Lineage: Eukaryota; Metazoa; Cnidaria; Anthozoa; Malacalcyonacea; Xeniidae. The record is from RefSeq and is a predicted model, not a curated record. The transcript is spliced from 2 exons.
GCAGAAUUUAUUAAAUUCAUGAAAAACCUUAAACUGGAAUAUCCCAAGAAGAUUGAGACGGCCCUUCCAGCAAAUCUUGCUGACGGAGAAGAACAAGUGAACGAGGCUGUUGUUCAUCAAAUUCGCCAUGGAUGAUAAAACAAGGGAAUGAGUUGAAGACUUGUUAUGAUAUAUCGUACAAAUACAUCAAGAUGAAUUUAGGAACGUCUAUGUUUUUGUUGUGAGUAUUGACUAGUAUUUAUAUAUAUCUGUAUGUAAUGUCUCAUAGAUAGGACAAGUUUUAACUAUAAUAUUAAACAUUAACCGAAACUUGACCACUACACUAAACAGUAUAAUCAUCAAUAAACAAUUAUUGGAUGAGGUUGAGCA